This 730-nucleotide ribosomal RNA is filed under the name uncultured bacterium. RNAcentral describes it as "bacterial SSU rRNA". It matches the Rfam family "Bacterial small subunit ribosomal RNA", at positions 94 to 820 of the family's 1533-position model. The record is from RNAcentral.
AGUGGCGAACGGGUGAGUAAUACAUCGGAACAUAUCCAGUAGCGGGGGAUAACCUAUCGAAAGAUUGGCUAAUACCGCAUACGAUCCACGGAUGAAAGCGGGGGACCGCAAGGCCUCGCACUAUUGGAGUGGCCGAUGUCAGAUUAGCUAGUUGGUGGGGUAAAAGCCUACCAAGGCGACGAUCUGUAGCUGGUCUGAGAGGACGAUCAGCCACACUGGAACUGAGACACGGUCCAGACUCCUACGGGAGGCAGCAGUGGGGAAUUUUGGACAAUGGGCGCAAGCCUGAUCCAGCCAUGCCGCGUGAGUGAAGAAGGCCUUCGGGUUGUAAAGCUCUUUCGGUGAAGACGAAACGGUUAGCGUUAAUAACGCUGACUAAUGACGGUACUCACAGAAGAAGCACCGGCUAACUACGUGCCAGCAGCCGCGGUAAUACGUAGGGUGCAGGCGUUAAUCGGAAUUACUGGGCGUAAAGCGUGCGCAGGCGGUUUGCUAAGACAGGUGUGAAAUCCCCGGGCUUAACCUGGGAAUUGCGCUUGUAACUGGCAAGCUAGAGUGUGGCAGAGGGGGGUGGAAUUCCACGUGUAGCAGUGAAAUGCGUAGAUAUGUGGAGGAACACCGAUGGCGAAGGCAGCCCCCUGGGUUAACACUGACGCUCAGGCACGAAAGCGUGGGGAGCAAACAGGAUUAGAUACCCUGGUAGUCCACGCCCUAAACUAUGUCAACUAGU